RNAcentral lists this ribosomal RNA (282 nucleotides) under uncultured Oomycota. RNAcentral's name for it is "uncultured Oomycetes partial 28S ribosomal RNA". It matches the Rfam family "Eukaryotic large subunit ribosomal RNA", at positions 326 to 612 of the family's 3401-position model. Lineage: Eukaryota; Oomycota. The record is from RNAcentral.
GUGCGAGACCGAUAGCGAACAAGUACCGUGAGGGAAAGAUGAAAAGAACUUUGAAAAGAGAGUUAAAGAGUACCUGAAACUGUUGAAAGGGAACCGUAUCGUUUCCAGUGUUGUAUCCUGUGCAUAUUUCAUUGGCGGAAGAAAUUUUGCUGGUGCCCUGUGCAUGGGUGUGACGUCAGAGUCAGUUUGUAUGCUGCGGGAGAUGGGUAGUGAGGAGGUGAACCACUUGUGGUUGUUAUAGCUCGCUAUUCUAGUUGCCGUGGUUGAGACUGAGGUGCCUAC